This 253-nucleotide ribosomal RNA is filed under the name uncultured bacterium. RNAcentral's name for it is "partial 16S ribosomal RNA". It matches the Rfam family "Bacterial small subunit ribosomal RNA", at positions 524 to 776 of the family's 1533-position model. The record is from RNAcentral.
UACGAAGGGGGCUAGCGUUGCUCGGAAUGACUGGGCGUAAAGGGCGCGUAGGCGGUUCGUACAGUCAGACGUGAAAUUCCCGGGCUCAACCUGGGGGCUGCGUUUGAUACGUAUGGACUUGAGUUCGGAAGAGGGUCGUGGAAUUUCCGGUGUAGCGGUGAAAUGCGUAGAUAUCGGAAGGAACACCAGUGGCGAAAGCGGCUUCCUGGUCCGACACCGACGUUCAGGCACGAAAGCGUGGGGAGCAAACAGG